GUAGGUGGCAAGCGUUGUCCGGAAUUAUUGGGCGUAAAGCGCGCGCAGGUGGUUCUUUAAGUCUGAUGUGAAAGCCCCCGGCUCAACCGGGGAGGGUCAUUGGAAACUGGGGAACUUGAGUGCAGGAGAGGAAAGUGGAAUUCCACGUGUAGCGGUGAAAUGCGUAGAUAUGUGGAGGAACACCAGUGGCGAAGGCGACUUUCUGGCCUGUAACUGACACUGAGGCGCGAAAGCGUGGGGAGCAAACAGGGAUUAGAUACCCUGGUAGUCCACGCCGUAAACGAUGAGUGCUAAGUGUUGGGGGGGGUUUUACCGCCCCCCGUCAGUGCUGCAGCUAACGCAUUAAGCACUCCGCCCUGGGAGUACGGUCGCAAGACUG
This 379-nucleotide ribosomal RNA is filed under the name uncultured organism. Its description in RNAcentral is "partial 16S ribosomal RNA". It matches the Rfam family "Bacterial small subunit ribosomal RNA", at positions 527 to 896 of the family's 1533-position model. The record is from RNAcentral.